RNAcentral lists this ribosomal RNA (253 nucleotides) under uncultured bacterium. Its description in RNAcentral is "partial 16S ribosomal RNA". It matches the Rfam family "Bacterial small subunit ribosomal RNA", at positions 524 to 776 of the family's 1533-position model. The record is from RNAcentral.
UACAGAGGUGGCAAGCGUUGUUCGGAAUUACUGGGCGUAAAGGGUUCGUAGGUGGCCACUUAAGUCAGACGUGAAAUCCCUCAGCUUAACUGGGGAACUGCGUCUGAUACUGCGUGGCUUGAGUGCAGGAGAGGAAUGCGGAAUUCCAGGUGUAGCGGUGAAAUGCUUAGAUAUCUGGAGGAACACCGGUGGCGAAGGCGGCAUCCUGGACCGGCAUUGACGCUGAGGCGCGAAAGCCAGGGGAGCAAACGGG